CCUACGGGAGACAGCAGUGAGGAAUAUUGGUCAAUGGACGAGAGUCUGAACCAGCCAAGUAGCGUGAAGGAUGACUGCUCUAUGGGUUGUAAACUUCUUUUAUAUGGGAAUAAAAUGUUCCACGUGUCGGAUUUUGUAUGUACCAUAUGAAUAAGGAUCGGCUAACUCUGUGCCAGCAGCCGCGGUAAUACGGAGGAUCCGAGCGUUAUCCGGAUUUAUUGGGUUUAAAGGGAGCGUAGGUGGAUUGUUAAGUCAGUUGUGAAAGUUUGCGGCUCAACCGUAAAAUUGCAGUUGAAACUGGCAGUCUUGAGUACAGUAGAGGUGAGCGGAAUUCGUGGUGUAGCGGUGAAAUGCUUAGAUAUCACGAAGAACUCCGAUUGCGAAGGCAGUUCACUGGACUGCAACUGACACUGAGGCUCGAAAGUGUGGGUAUCAAACAGGAUUAGAUACCCUUGUAGUC
RNAcentral lists this ribosomal RNA (460 nucleotides) under uncultured bacterium. Its description in RNAcentral is "partial 16S ribosomal RNA". It matches the Rfam family "Bacterial small subunit ribosomal RNA", at positions 338 to 795 of the family's 1533-position model. The record is from RNAcentral.